GAGUUUGAUCGUGGCUCAGAGCGAACGCUGGCGGCAGGCUUAAUACAUGCAAGUCGAGCGCCCGUAGCAAUACGGGAGCGGCAGACGGGAGAGUAACACGUGGGAACGUGCCCUUUAGUUCGGAACAACCAAGGGAAACUUUGGCUAAUACCGGAUACGCCCUUACGGGGAAAGAUUUAUCGCUAAAGGAGCGGCCCGCGUCUGAUUAGCUAGUUGGUGAGGUAACGGCUCACCAAGGCGACGAUCAGUAGCUGGUCUGAGAGGAUGACCAGCCUCACUGGGACUGAGACACGGCCCAGACUCCUACGGGAGGCAGCAGUAGGGAAUAUUGGACAAUGGGGGAAACCCUGAUCCAGCCAUGCCGCGUGAGUGAUGAAGGCCUUAGGGUUGUAAAGCUCUUUUUAGCAGGGAAGAUAAUGACGGUACCUGCAGAAAAAGCCCCGGCUAACUUCGUGCCAGCCG
RNAcentral lists this ribosomal RNA (462 nucleotides) under uncultured Alphaproteobacteria bacterium. Its description in RNAcentral is "bacterial SSU rRNA". It matches the Rfam family "Bacterial small subunit ribosomal RNA", at positions 9 to 514 of the family's 1533-position model. The record is from RNAcentral. Lineage: Bacteria; Pseudomonadati; Pseudomonadota; Alphaproteobacteria.